Molecule: microRNA precursor, 144 nt
Filed under: Gossypium barbadense (sea-island cotton)
Lineage: Eukaryota; Viridiplantae; Streptophyta; Magnoliopsida; Malvales; Malvaceae
Also listed under: 1 other name
Description: MIR7502 microRNA precursor family
Rfam family: MIR7502 microRNA precursor family
Source: Rfam by way of RNAcentral
UAUUAAAAAUUUUAUCUAAUUAUAUUUAUAAAAAUUGACAUGACCAAUGGAAUAAUCAAACAGUGUCACAUAGCUUUCUAUGUGUACCUCAUGCUAACAUACAAAAGCCCGUUUUUAACAGUACAAAUGAACAAAAUUUCAACA